RNAcentral lists this ribosomal RNA (253 nucleotides) under uncultured bacterium. RNAcentral's name for it is "partial 16S ribosomal RNA". It matches the Rfam family "Bacterial small subunit ribosomal RNA", at positions 524 to 776 of the family's 1533-position model. The record is from RNAcentral.
UACGAAGGGGGCUAGCGUUGUUCGGAAUUACUGGGCGUAAAGCGCACGUAGGCGGAUAUUUAAGUCAGGGGUGAAAUCCCAGAGCUCAACUCUGGAACUGCCUUUGAUACUGGGUAUCUUGAGUAUGGAAGAGGUAAGUGGAAUUGCGAGUGUGGAGGUGAAAUUCGUAGAUAUUCGCAGGAACACCAGUGGCGAAGGCGGCUUACUGGUCCAUUACUGACGCUGAGGUGCGAAAGCGUGGGGAGCAAACAGG